Molecule: microRNA precursor, 215 nt
Filed under: Gossypium raimondii (Peruvian cotton)
Lineage: Eukaryota; Viridiplantae; Streptophyta; Magnoliopsida; Malvales; Malvaceae
Description: miR8672 stem-loop (gra-MIR8672)
Source: miRBase by way of RNAcentral
UAGGUAAAGAAAGAGAAAUGAUUGUAUGAAACAGAUAUAUUAUUAUUUUUUAAUAAUUUUAUGUCACAUCAAUAAUUUAAUCCUGAAUUUCAGGAUUUUAAUUUGGAUUUAAAUUUUUUUAAGAUAAAAAUGUUGAUGUAGCAUAAAGCUAUUAGAAAAAGAGAUAUAGAUGACGUGACGUCACUGUUUCAUAUAAUCUUUUUUUUCAGAGAAAU